RNAcentral lists this ribosomal RNA (492 nucleotides) under uncultured bacterium. Its description in RNAcentral is "partial 16S ribosomal RNA". It matches the Rfam family "Bacterial small subunit ribosomal RNA", at positions 29 to 507 of the family's 1533-position model. The record is from RNAcentral.
AGUGAACGCUGGCGGUAGGCCUAACACAUGCCAGUCGAACGGCAGCACAGUAAGAGCUUGCUCUUACGGGUGGCGAGUGGCGGACGGGUGAGGAAUACAUCGGAAUCUACUUUUUCGUGGGGGAUAACGUAGGGAAACUUACGCUAAUACCGCAUACGACCUACGGGUGAAAGCAGGGGAUCUUCGGACCUUGCGCGAUUGAAUGAGCCGAUGUCGGAUUAGCUAGUUGGCGGGGUAAAGGCCCACCAAGGCGACGAUCCGUAGCUGGUCUGAGAGGAUGAUCAGCCACACUGGAACUGAGACACGGUCCAGACUCCUACGGGAGGCAGCAGUGGGGAAUAUUGGACAAUGGGCGCAAGCCUGAUCCAGCCAUACCGCGUAGGUGAAGAAGGCCUUCGGGUUGUAAAGCCCUUUUGUUGGGAAAGAAAAGCAGCAGGUUAAUACCCCGCUGUUCUGACGGUACCCAAAGAAUAAGCACCGGCUAACUUCGUG